UGCUUUGUGCAGAGGCGAUAGCGUGACCAAUGGGUCUCUACCGAGGUGCUUUUAUAGGUUAUUGAAAACUUUUCUCACUUAAUCUUCCCAAAAUUUUAGUCAUUCUUCCAGACUUUUCUAGCAUAAUUAAAAUUAAAAUUUCUAAGAAGUUCUUUCGAAA
Molecule: small nuclear RNA, 160 nt
Filed under: Oesophagostomum dentatum (nodular worm)
Lineage: Eukaryota; Metazoa; Nematoda; Chromadorea; Rhabditida; Strongylidae
Description: U4 spliceosomal RNA
Rfam family: U4 spliceosomal RNA
About the family: U4 small nuclear RNA (U4 snRNA) is a component of the major U2-dependent spliceosome. The structure of U4 snRNA from yeast and human has been reported.
Source: Rfam by way of RNAcentral